Molecule: small nuclear RNA, 107 nt
Organism: Hippopotamus amphibius kiboko
Lineage: Eukaryota; Metazoa; Chordata; Mammalia; Artiodactyla; Hippopotamidae
Source: RefSeq, a predicted model, not a curated record
GUGCUCACUUCGGCAGCACAUAUACUAAAAUUGGAAUGAUACAGAGAAAAUUAGUAUGGACCCGACACAAAGAUGACAUGCAAAUUCAUGAAGCAUUCCAUUUAAAA